CGGGGUGUGGUGUAACGGCUAACAUGCUCGUUUUGGGUACGAGUGACUCCGGGUUCGAAUCCCGGCUCCCCGACAA
RNAcentral lists this transfer RNA (76 nucleotides) under Candidatus Campbelliibacteriota bacterium. RNAcentral describes it as "Candidatus Campbellbacteria bacterium tRNA-Pro". It matches the Rfam family "tRNA". Rfam says of the family: Transfer RNA (tRNA) molecules are approximately 80 nucleotides in length. The record is from RNAcentral. Lineage: Bacteria; Candidatus Campbelliibacteriota.